RNAcentral lists this microRNA precursor (76 nucleotides) under Myotis brandtii (Brandt's bat). RNAcentral describes it as "mir-9193 microRNA precursor family". It matches the Rfam family "mir-9193 microRNA precursor family". Lineage: Eukaryota; Metazoa; Chordata; Mammalia; Chiroptera; Vespertilionidae. The record is from Rfam by way of RNAcentral.
UCAGGGGUAGGGGGGGAUCCCUCAGCUCAGAUUGUGAGAGGGUGCAGGCCAGGCCGAGGGACCCCACUGGUGCACG